Molecule: ribosomal RNA, 433 nt
Filed under: uncultured bacterium
Lineage: Bacteria
Description: partial 16S ribosomal RNA
Rfam family: Bacterial small subunit ribosomal RNA
Source: RNAcentral
AACGAACGCUGGCGGCAUGCCUAACACAUGCAAGUCGAACGAGACCUUCGGGUCUAGUGGCGCACGGGUGCGUAACGCGUGGGAACCUGCCCUUAGGUUCGGAAUAACUCCCCGAAAGGGGUGCUAAUACCGGAUAAUGUCUUCGGCCCAAAGAUUUAUCGCCUUUGGAUGGGCCCGCGUUGGAUUAGCUAGUUGGUAGGGUAAAAGCCUACCAAGGCGACGAUCCAUAGCUGGUCUGAGAGGAUGAUCAGCCACACUGGGACUGAGACACGGCCCAGACUCCUACGGGAGGCAGCAGUGGGGAAUAUUGGACGAUGGGCGAAAGCCUGAUCCAGCAAUGCCGCGUGAGUGAUGAAGGCCUUAGGGUUGUAAAGCUCUUUUACCCGGGAUGAUAAUGACAGUACCGGGAGAAUAAGCUCCGGCUAACUCCGUG